Peromyscus maniculatus bairdii (prairie deer mouse) is the source of this 2677-nucleotide non-coding RNA. Lineage: Eukaryota; Metazoa; Chordata; Mammalia; Rodentia; Cricetidae. The record is from RefSeq and is a predicted model, not a curated record.
UUCGCGCAGGCGCAUCCGGGCUCACGCCGUGGAAAAGUGAAGCGUUUCCUCUCAGCGCUUACUUUCCCCAAAGCUGUUCUUUUUCCUUGCGUUGAUAGUCCUCGGCUUCUGGCCACACGGGCCCCUUUCUCAGAUUCAGCCUUCCCCCCACUGCCUGUCUUAUCACCAGAGUCCACAUAUGAAGGACCUAGCAGGUCCUCUUGAUAAAUCUGUGCGUGACUGUUUCACAAAAGCACCUGGAGCUUAGCCUGCAUUCUAAGGCUUGCUUCAGACGUCGUGUGCCAGACUUGGAUCCAAGGAGCCAAAGGAGUACAAAGACCUAACAGAUAUGUUGAAGCUAUCCCGAAGACGCGACUCAGCAUCCAGGAUUUGAAACAUAGAAUGUUGUGUGGGUGUACUGUCAUGAUCUGAUAAUUCGCUUGGGUCAUUGUCUUCCAUAUCUUGACCCUGGAGAUCCUCAGAAUCUGGUUCCAGAAUCCCUGCCCUCCUUUGAGGCUGAACAGCAACUGGAGCAACCCAAGGAGCUUGAAGAGAUGCUGAAGCUGCAAAACUCCCUGGGCUCAAUGUGACUCUUUGAUUAUUGUUGCUUAUCGAAGCAGCUAAUUGUUGAAGCUUCUCCUGAUUUGUGAUUUAAUUUUCACACAAAUGGCUGGAGGGGUGACCGGAUACACAGUUGAGAGUACAAUGACUCCUGAUGCCCUCACAUUCCGUGAAAGUGUGUCAUCAAAGCCAGCCUUGAUUACCUCUUACAAACAGAUGGAGCUGGUACCAUUCAUGAAGAUGGUAGCUGUCCUGCUCAGAGGAUAUUGCUGCACAUGUGUCCAUUAGUAAUCACACUACCAUCCCUGAGAAAUCUACAAGUGCCAGGCUGCUUGGGACCUGGGGCCAGCAAUGCCCAUGAGAGCAGGAGAAUGGCUGAGUCAAGUGUUGGCAUGUUGUCAAUCACAGAAACACUAGGUUGUUUUCAGAUGGCUCAUGAAAGCUGGGGACUGUGACCAUCACUGGACGUGAAGGCCACGCUGGAGAAUCACAAGACAGAUUUGGGGAAAACCAGUCCCUUAAUAGUUGAAAACUUUUACUACCUGCUAAGCUUGGUGACGCCAGCAUCAUGGAAGGCAGGGCUGGGGUAGCACCUGGCUGUGGAGGGAGACUGUGGCUCUAGGAAUUGAAAGCACAGGACUCUGAAAUCGCUGGUUAGAACUGUGGGAGACGGCAGGUGUUCUGACAAAGGUCAUCUUUCAAUGGCGGAGCCUCCAGCAAGCGCAGCAGAGUCCACGGCCAGCACCUCUCACCCUAAUGCACUGAAAGGCAAAGCACAUACACUUCCAGUGUCUCACCCCUUCUCUGCUCCCUCGGCCUCUGGAGCACAAGGUGUGACCUGGCUGCUCCUGGUCCCACUCACUGCAUCCCACAGGGAUGUGUUGACUUUACCCCAUUCUCCUCCCCCCUCUUCAGGGUCCUUAGAUCCCAAUGUGCCAUAACUGCUGUAUUUGUCAAGAAGAAGAGACACUGGCUCCAUCAUUCCUGCCUGUGCCAGGUGAAGCACGGUUCAAGAACUUUCCUCUGGUUCAUGUUUUCCCUCCUGUUUCAUCAAUACCAACUACAAAAAUCACUUAAUUAUUUCUCAUAUUAUUUGUGUGGACCCUGUUUUGUUUCCUGUUUUUGAAGAGUUGUGAUUCUUGUGUCCCUCUGAAGAUGUUGCUCUUGUUCAUACUCAGGAAGCCUUCUAGAAAGCACCUGUGUGACUAAAGCUGACAGACUUAUUCCUGAAGGCUGUGUGCAGAGGAAGUAAAGCUGUAUGUGACUGUUACAGAGUGUGUGUUAGUGUGUACAUGGUGCACACGUGUGGGUGCAAGUUCCUGUGUGCUGGCCAGAGGAGCACCUUGGUGUCAUUCCUCAGGCACUGUCCCCCAUUUUCUCUUUUCUGAGAAAGUUGGUCAAUGACCCACAAUAUGACACGCAGGCUAGGCUGCCUGGACACGGAGCCUGAGCUGAAAAGGGGAUUGAAAAUUCCAACUGCUCCCCCAGUGCACAGCUUCUCAAUGAGCUUCUAGGACAACAGUCAGGGUCUCAUGCCUGCAAGGUGAGUGCAUGACUAGCUGAACUGUCUCCCCAGUGCUAGAAAGAACGUUCAGCGUUUUGAACGACUGUUGCUUGUCGAUGAAGCCUGAUCUUUUCAUCCAAUGAAUGACAUUAUUGCGUUGAAUCUCUGUGAUUUCAGACAUACAAAUUCUUAAAGCUUCAGAUUGUUUGCAUGAUAUAUGUUCCUUUUAUCUCAAUUCUCUAUGUCAAAAUAGAUUCUCUAUCUCAUGUAUGCUCUUUCAAAAAAGAAAACAAACAACACCUGCCAGAGGGAUCCACAGCCAAGUACCAGGCCGAGCUCCAAGAGUCCAGUCGAAGACAGAGAAGAAGUAUUCCAUGAGCAAGGGGCAUCAAGCUCAUGAUGGGGAAACCUACAGAGACAACCAAACCAAAUUAGGGGGAAACUCAUGAAAUUUAGACCAACACCCGUGAAGCCUCCACUGGACUAAACUCGGCCCUCUGCAUAAGUCAGAUAGUUGUGUAGCUUGAUCUGCAUAAGGGCCCCCUGGCAGUGGGAUCAGGAUCCAUCCCUGGUGAAUGAGCUGGCUUUUGGGAGCCCACUACCUAUGGUGGGACACCUCGAACAGCCUUGAGG